CAAAAAGUCCUUUUGGUAAACUUUACAGGACACGUUAUCAAAGUUUGUUAUAGUAUUUUUGAAAAACGAUUUUAUCCGAAAAAAAAAUACAUUAAUGUAAACAUUCAUAAGAUUGUCAAUUCUAUCCCGAAUUUGUUAACUAAAACCGAAAAAGACGUAGAAAUAUCUGAAUUUUUGGUAUUUGAGCAAGUGUAAAAUCAUUUGUUCCCCGGACUAAUGCUAUACCGACCAGAAACUACAAAAAAUUAUGACACUACAGAGACAAAAGUCAAUAAUUUCCGUCAGUUCUACAGGUUUAAAGAAAGAAAGACAAC
RNAcentral lists this long non-coding RNA (314 nucleotides) under Mytilus galloprovincialis (Mediterranean mussel). The record is from RNAcentral. Lineage: Eukaryota; Metazoa; Mollusca; Bivalvia; Mytilida; Mytilidae.